Limulus polyphemus (Atlantic horseshoe crab) is the source of this 835-nucleotide long non-coding RNA. RefSeq lists it as uncharacterized. The record is from RefSeq and is a predicted model, not a curated record. NCBI's taxonomy places the organism in Eukaryota, Metazoa, Arthropoda, Merostomata, Xiphosura, Limulidae. The transcript has 3 exons.
GACUCACGCGCCGUUGACCAAACUACAAUCACACAGCAACUAGACAAGACUCAGGACUUCGUGUCGGUAGAUCAAAGUUAGGUGAGAAGACCAGAAAGGUUUCACUUCUAAUCUAGAGAAGAAAGGAAAACUGCUACCAGGGUUGCGUUCAACAUGAAACCAUCCACCCUUCGCAGAGCACCGUUGGUUCUCUUCUUUGUCCUGGCAGUUGCUACGUCACACGGAGAAAUCGACACCGAUCUAGCAGUGGAUCAAGUGGUGGGAACUUUGUUCAAUCGAUUAUUUCCAGAGUUCCCAGAGAAAACUCCCUAUUUCCACAAAACUAGUCACCAUGGGGAUACUGCAAACAUGAAUGACGUGAUGAAUCCUGAAGAAAUGAUAGAAGACCGCCAUGUACCAGAAGGGAAGACAAACAGCGCUGUGUGGUAUGUUCAUAAAGAACAAAGAAAAAGAGGCCCCGGCUGUAUGAGAAAAUGUAUAGCGCAAGGCAUCCUCCACCCUGUCCAAUGCCAUUCUUUGUGCUAAUAGAUAGAUAGUUUCUUUCAGUAAAACAGAUUCCACGGGAAAAACAACUGAAGGAAUUGUCAACAGUCACCGAAUACCUUGAAGAUCCCCGUAAAAAGAAAAUACAACAAAAAACAAAAUUGUCAACAUUGGAUUAAGCCUGAUAUGUAGAUAUGUUAUUGGUAUAAUUCGCUUAUGAAAUAGAGUUAACUACGAACGUGAGUUUUAAAUUAAGUUAAUAUGAUAUUAUUUUUCUCUUUGUUUUUUAGUAUUGAAAGAUGGUAUAACGUAAACGACGCAUAUAUAUAACGUAAUAAAAACCUGUAUCACA